GACGAACGCUGGCGGCGUGCCUAAUACAUGCAAGUUGAGCGAUGAAGAUUUGUGCUUGCACCAAUUUGAAGAGCAGCGAACGGGUGAGUAACGCGUGGGGAAUCUUCCUUUUAGCGGGGGACAACAUUUGGAAACGAAUGCUAAUACCGCAUAACAACUUUAAACAUAAGAUUUAAGUUUUAAAGAUACAUUUGCAUCACUCAAAGAUGAUCCCGCGUUGUAUUAGCUAGUUGGUGAGGUAAAGGCUCACCAAGGCGAUGAUACAUAGCCGACCUGAGAGGGUGAUCGGCCACAUUGGGACUGAGACACGGCCCAAAAUCCUACGGGAGGCAGCAGUAGGGAAUCUUUGGCAAUGGACGAAAGUCUGACCGAGCAACGACGCGUGAGUGAAGAAGGUUUUCGGAUCGUAAAACUCUGUUGGUAGAGAAGAACGUUGGUGAGAGUGGAAAGCUCAUCAAGUGACGGUAACUAACCAGAAAGGGACGGCUAACUACGUG
This 497-nucleotide ribosomal RNA is filed under the name uncultured bacterium. RNAcentral's name for it is "partial 16S ribosomal RNA". It matches the Rfam family "Bacterial small subunit ribosomal RNA", at positions 28 to 507 of the family's 1533-position model. The record is from RNAcentral.